Molecule: long non-coding RNA, 357 nt
Organism: Talpa occidentalis (Iberian mole)
Lineage: Eukaryota; Metazoa; Chordata; Mammalia; Eulipotyphla; Talpidae
Exons: 3
Source: RefSeq, a predicted model, not a curated record
UUAUACAGGAAGCCUUUACUCUAUCAACUGGAAAGUGACCCUUGUCAUCCAGCUCUUAUUUAUUGGCUAGAACAAAUUAUGUGACUCCCUCAUCUGCACGGGUCUUGGGAAAUACAAUCUUCCAUAUGUGGAGGAAAGAAAGGAUAAGAAGAUAUUGCCCUCCAGGUCCUCAGUGUUACUUUUGUUUUGAAAGAAGAGGAAAUUCUGGAAACAUGUUUCUUGAUCAUUUAUUUCCGUCUGGGUCUAAGCACCAAAUUGUCAGUACAAAAGACAGAUGACAAGCUGGAAGAAGGAAAAAAAAAAAAAGAGAGAGAAAGAGAGAGAAUAAAACACUUUGAGACGAGAUAGCCAAAGAGA